This 500-nucleotide ribosomal RNA is filed under the name uncultured bacterium. RNAcentral's name for it is "partial 16S ribosomal RNA". It matches the Rfam family "Bacterial small subunit ribosomal RNA", at positions 30 to 523 of the family's 1533-position model. The record is from RNAcentral.
AUUGAACGCUGGCGGAAUGCUUUACACAUGCAAGUCGAACGGCAGCACGGACUUCGGUCUGGUGGCGAGUGGCGAACGGGUGAGUAAUGUAUCGGAACGUGCCCAGUUGUGGGGGAUAACGUAGUGAAAAUUACGCUAAUACUGCAUACGAUCUAUGGAUGAAAGCGGGGGAUCGCAAGACCUCGCGCGAUUAGAGCGGCCGAUAUCAGAUUAGGUAGUUGGUGGGGUAAAGGCCCACCAAGCCAACGAUCUGUAGCUGGUCUGAGCGGACGACCAGCCACACUGGAACUGAGACACGGUCCAGACUCCUACGGGAGGCAGCAGUGGGGAAUUUUGGACAAUGGGCGAAAGCCUGAUCCAGCCAUUCCGCGUGCAGGAUGAAGGCCCUCGGGUUGUAAACUGCUUUUGUACAGAACGAAAAGGUUUCUACUAAUACUAGGAGCUCAUGACGGUACUGUAAGAAUAAGCACCGGCUAACUACGUGCCAGCCGCCGCUGUAA